AUGCAGCUGACGGUGAAGGCGCUGCAGGGCCGCGAGUGCAGCCUGCAGGUGCCAGAGGACGAGCUGGUGUCCACGCUGAAGCAGCUGGUCUCCGAGAAGCUGAACGUCCCAGUGCGCCAGCAGCGGCUGCUGUUCAAGGGCAAGGCCCUGGCAGGUACCCAGGGAGAGGAGACGCCCGGGGAGCCCCGCAGGAAGCGGGACCGGGGUGCGCGGGCCGAGGCCAGCAGCCGUGUGUCGGGUCGGGGUGCGGGCGCCAAGCGCCACAUGACCCCAAGGGAGGCGGCCGCAUGCCUCACAGCCGGAUGCCGCAGCGCUCCGCUCCCGCCGCCCGAGGCGGCCU
This 340-nucleotide non-coding RNA is filed under the name Pan troglodytes (chimpanzee). RNAcentral also lists the same sequence under 1 other name. Lineage: Eukaryota; Metazoa; Chordata; Mammalia; Primates; Hominidae. The record is from RNAcentral.